AUUGAACGCUGGCGGCAGGCCUAACACAUGCAAGUCGAACGAGUGGCGGACGGGUGAGUAAUGUCUGGGAAACUGCCUGAUGGAGGGGGAUAACUACUGGAAACGGUAGCUAAUACCGCAUACCAUCGGAUGUGCCCAGAUGGGAUUAGCUAGUAGGUGGGGUAACGGCUCACCUAGGCGACGAUCCCUAGCUGGUUUGAGAGGAUGACCAGCCAAAAUGGAACGGAGACACGGGCCAGACUCCUCCGGGGGGCAGCAGUGGGGAAUAUUGCACAAUGGGCGAAAGUCUGACGGAGCAACGCCGCGUGAGGUAUGGAGGCCUUCGGGUUGGAAAGUCUUUUGAUCGGGACGACGGUACCGGAAUAGAAAGCCACGGCUAACUCCGUGCCAGCAGCCGCGGUAAUAC
This 406-nucleotide ribosomal RNA is filed under the name uncultured bacterium. Its description in RNAcentral is "partial 16S ribosomal RNA". It matches the Rfam family "Bacterial small subunit ribosomal RNA", at positions 29 to 526 of the family's 1533-position model. The record is from RNAcentral.